This 304-nucleotide unclassified non-coding RNA is filed under the name Hevea brasiliensis (rubber tree). Lineage: Eukaryota; Viridiplantae; Streptophyta; Magnoliopsida; Malpighiales; Euphorbiaceae. The record is from RNAcentral.
GUGCUGGGCCAACGGAGGAGAUGGUCGAGAUUGAGGGAGAUGUUUUGGCUGUAAAGAAAGCACUUGUAGUGGUUUCUCGCUGCCUUCAAGAUUGUCAACCAGUUGAUAAAACAAGGAUGAGGGGCAGUAAACCUGCUGAGGCAGUUCCUGAAGAACCUGCACCUGGAAUACAUGUAAAUUUUAUUUCACAGCGUAAUUUGGUGUUACCUACCAUGCCAAGUAGCACUACUUCUUAUGCUUCAGGGGCUCGUUCUUUGUCAUUAGAGUCUGACCUAGUGCCCUCCCUGGACGCGAACUCACUACA